This 668-nucleotide long non-coding RNA is filed under the name Brassica rapa (field mustard). RNAcentral's name for it is "long non-coding RNA (BRAP_LNC001684)". Lineage: Eukaryota; Viridiplantae; Streptophyta; Magnoliopsida; Brassicales; Brassicaceae. The record is from RNAcentral.
UUCAUAUAUAUAUCUAAUCAUUCUACCACUUUCGAAAUAUUUUUUUUAAGCAACGAAAUAAAAAUUUCUAAAAUGUUUUUCCACCACUGGAAAACUUGUUCGAUGUGGCGAACUUGUGUGCAAAUGUUAGAGAGUACGGAUUAAACACCAACAUUCUUAAAUGAUAAUUUAAGUCUCGCGAAGAAUUGUGAUUUUUUUGGACAACAAAUUAUGAUUGUUUUGAUGAAUAACUUUUCAUAUAAAUGAGGCAUAUAUACACACACAAGUUACCACACUUCGAAUGGUUUUAAACAUUGCUAUAUGAUGUAGCAUGUAUGUCGGGGAGUGAGCAAAAUACACAUCUUCCGACCAAUAACGACUGACAGGUGAGACAUAAUAACGUUAACCAACCUAUCCGACCCAGACAACAUAUGAUAAAAUCUCAAAGCUCCAAACAAUAUUAUUAAAGCAUUAUAUACUGCAUUAUAUUUUACAAAUAAAAAAUAAAAAAAGACUGCAUUAUAAUUUAUAAAAGGGCAAUUGUCAAUAAUAGCACCUUUUGAAAUUUAUGUCUCAAAAAUAGCACUAAAAGGAGAAAGUCACAAAAAUGACAUUCAUUAAAGGGUAAAAUAUCCCUAAUACUCUUGGUUUAAAAUUAAAUAAACAAAUAAAAAUAAAUAAAAUAAAAA